Molecule: small RNA, 71 nt
Filed under: Morganella morganii
Lineage: Bacteria; Pseudomonadati; Pseudomonadota; Gammaproteobacteria; Enterobacterales; Morganellaceae
Also listed under: 1 other name
Description: tpke11
Rfam family: tpke11
About the family: In Yersinia located in ICR upstream dnaJ (chaperone)gene. Has temperature responsive RNA structure.
Source: RNAcentral
CACUGAAAACCGGCACGGGCGUUGAGGAAACUCUGCGCCCGUGUGCUUGUGUUAAGGGACAAAACGGAUGG